AUGAAGUUAGUAAAAGAAUGCUGGGUCAAGGAAUGGUACAACAUUUUCUCACUUUAUUCAAAUCUUGCAGAUUUACAAAGCUCGAGAACAACCAAAGACUACCUUCCGUCGCCUGCUCCGCUUCGUCAAAUCAGUUGCAUCUUAUGGAAAGUGUUAAAGUUUCACUUCACGAUAGAGGAAGCCAUACAUCCAGAAUCGUGGGAGAAGAAUAAUCGAACCAUAUUGAUGAGAAUUCCUCUUGCACCACCAGCUGGCAGCAGGUUAACCUGGGGCUUUGAUUUAAUGAGCUUGUUCUCUACUGCCAAGUCAGCAGCAGGCCCUGUAGUUUUAGUCGGUAAUUUUUUUUUUAGAAAAGGAGGAAUACCCCCGGCCUCUGCAUCUGGACGAUGCAUACGGCCAAUUUAUUAA
This 408-nucleotide ribosomal RNA is filed under the name Triticum aestivum (bread wheat). Its description in RNAcentral is "partial small subunit ribosomal RNA". The record is from RNAcentral. Lineage: Eukaryota; Viridiplantae; Streptophyta; Magnoliopsida; Poales; Poaceae.